Molecule: ribosomal RNA, 502 nt
Filed under: uncultured bacterium
Lineage: Bacteria
Description: partial 16S ribosomal RNA
Rfam family: Bacterial small subunit ribosomal RNA
Source: RNAcentral
AUUGAACGCUGGCGGAAUGCUUUACACGUGCAAGUCGAACGGCAGCACGGGUGCUUGCACCUGGUGGCGAGUGGCGAACGGGUGAGUAAUAUAUCGGAACGUACCCAUUAAUGGGGGAUAACAUAUCGAAAGAUGUGCUAAUACCGCAUACGCCCUGAGGGGGAAAGCGGGGGAUCUUAGGACCUCGCGUUAUUGGAGCGGCCGAUAUCGGAUUAGCUAGUUGGUGGGGUAAAGGCCCACCAAGGCGACGAUCCGUAGCUGGUCUGAGAGGACGACCAGCCACACUGGAACUGAGACACGGUCCAGACUCCUACGGGAGGCAGCAGUGGGGAAUUUUGGACAAUGGGGGAAACCCUGAUCCAGCCAUUCCGCGUGAGUGAAGAAGGCCUUCGGGUUGUAAAGCUCUUUCGCAAGGGAAGAAAACUUACAUUCUAAUAAAGUGUGAGGCUGACGGUACCUUGAUAAGAAGCACCGGCUAACUACGUGCCAGCCGCCGCGGUAA